Molecule: ribosomal RNA, 253 nt
Filed under: uncultured bacterium
Lineage: Bacteria
Description: partial 16S ribosomal RNA
Rfam family: Bacterial small subunit ribosomal RNA
Source: RNAcentral
UACGUAGGGUGCAAGCGUUGUCCGGAAUUACUGGGCGUAAAGAGCUCGUAGGUGGUUUGUCGCGUUGUUCGUGAAAACUCACAGCUCAGCUGUGGGCGUGCGGGCGAUACGGGCAGACUUGAGUACUGCAGGGGAGACUGGAAUUCCUGGUGUAGCGGUGGAAUGCGCAGAUAUCAGGAGGAACACCGGUGGCGAAGGCGGGUCUCUGGGCAGUAACUGACGCUGAGGAGCGAAAGCGUGGGGAGCGAACAGG